This is a long non-coding RNA of Mauremys mutica (yellowpond turtle), 5871 nucleotides long. RefSeq lists it as uncharacterized. The transcript has 5 exons. The record is from RefSeq and is a predicted model, not a curated record. Lineage: Eukaryota; Metazoa; Chordata; Testudines; Geoemydidae.
AUGUUUAAAUAUAUGAACUAUACAAUGUUGCUGUGGAAACACUAUCCAUGAAUUUUGUGAGUAAUUCAUGUGUUUAAAAUCUCAUCUGUAACAUUCUAUUAAUGUACUAUUUGUAUGUCUUUAAAAAAAAUACAAAAACAGAGUUUUGUGCAUUUACUUGAGUUAGAUCCAAAUGAUCACACAUUGAUACAAAUAUACUGUUUGCUUGAAUGUGUAAUUAUUAAAAUAUGUAUUUCAAUGAGCAUAUUCUGAUAUAUUCACAUAGUUUGUGUUUAUCUGGAUUAUUGCACUGUGGGCUCAGCCCUGCUCCUGUCUGAAGUCAGCUGCAAAUCUUCCAAUGACUUGGCCCUUGAAACAAUAAGGAAAAUGAGCUUUACUCAUCCUAGUUGUUAUUUGUAAGCAUAACAGGUUGAUGACAGGGCUUUCAGCAGAUUGGACAGAUUGGGAAGCAGCAGUGAAAAGACAGUUUUCAUUCAGAGUUAUGAGCACCAUUUAUAGUUAUCAAGUCUUCUCCAGUGGAAAAGAAGAUGGUGAUAACCUAGGAAGAUAUCCUGCCAUCGAUAUUAUGCAAAACCAUUAGUGACAUCAAUGAGUUUGAUCCAGAGACUGACUGAAUGGAAUUUUGCCAGGCAGAGGUUCCUAAAAGAGCCCUUCCAGUGACCCUCAGAGAGCUAGACUGCUGGUUCUGAGCCCUUGAUGCACCUCAGCCAGGACAUCUGUACAAGAGAGGAGCUGCCAGUAGAGGAGACUGUGUUAUCAAAUGAGCUGUGCUGAAAAAAAGCUUCUUCCUUCCCCUUCCAAGAACAGCCACACUGCAGGCUCAAGCCACCAGCCUCCCCAUCACAUGCCAGAGGCAAGGGAGUCAAAAUAAAGGCCUUGUCCCCAGGCCAGAGAGGUACUUUGAGGAUGGGAGAGGGAGAAAAUAACCAGGGGAUUGGUGAACAACAGGACUAGACAGGAGUAAGAGAAAAAUCAGUCACUGGAGCAAAGGAGCUGCCUAGAAGUCUGGCAGGCGGAAGCAGUGUGGGGCUGGGUGGGAGGAAGGAGCGUGAUGUCUGAGGGAAGUAAGGAGACUGGUAACAGAGGAGAGGAAGUGUCCAGAUGGGAGAAGGAGCACAGAGUUGGGAGGACCCAAGGGAGGUAGGUGUGUGGGACCUGGGGAGAGAGCUGGAAAGUGGGAUUGGAGUGGAGAUGGAGGAAAGAACUAGUGUUUGGGAAGAGAGACACUAGGCUGGAGGGGUCAAGCUAAUUUAAGAGGACAACAAGCAUAUUGUGUGUGUGUAGUUUUGCAUGUUGUGCAGUCACAAAUUGGAGCAUGAUUUGGCAGGGAGGUGGUCCAGAAGAUGAUUGCUCUAAGGAGUGUUUUAUGCUAUGAACCAGUAUGCAUUGCUGCUGCUUUGGACCUGCUGCUCCUGCUCUUGUUGAAAUCAAUGGGAGUUUUGCAGUUGACUUCUUGGGAACAGGAUCCAGGCCUUCUAUGUUUACAAGAGACUCAAAAGUAGCAAAAAGUACAUUUGGUUCAUUUGUAGUUUUUUAUUAGUAAAGUAAAAAGUCUGUGAAAUUCAGACCUUUUAAUGUCCCUUCAGUUUAAAUAGUUUUUAGAGGUAAUUAUUUUAAGAACAAUUUCACAAGAUGUUACCUGAGGCAAAUCAUAUAACAUUAAAACAAAGAGUCUGUCAAAUUCCAAGUCUGUCGGAAGUUUUUAAAAUUUUUAGCCUUCUGGAAUUCCUGUGGGUCAUGAUUUAUUCUUGAUAUAUGCCAGAAGGAAAUAUAAGGCACUGAAAUAUAUACAGAAAUAAAUGUAAUUAAAUUGAAAUAAUAAUUGUAAUUAUUUGAAAGGAAGCACAAUUUGAUAUUGAUUUUAAAUGUCAUGUAAGUCAUAACCAGAUUAACAUGAUUCAAAAAAAUCUGAACUUUGUAAUAGAACAAGGCAUCUCUAAGUAUUUUUAAAUUACGAAAUUUUGCAUUCACCUAAAGCUUAGAAUAGGAAGAUGUGAUAAAAAUAAACAAGUAACAAAGACUAGAAGUUAGUGAUUCAUAGACUAUAUCUUCAAAUAAUGAACAAAAGUAUAGUUACUAAUCACUGAAGAACAGCUGCACUAGUUAUUUGAUCAUUUCUUAAAAAAUAAAAUAUAGAUGAAAACUUCAAGAUUUAAAAAAAGACGUUUAAAAAGUUAUCAGUAUAUGCUAGUUAUUUUAAGUCUCCUAGAUGGUUUUAUGGUUAGAUACCUACAGUUUGCUCAUAUGAAUGAAUUAUGUUCUUUUCUUUGCUGCUCUGUCUGGUAAAUAGAAGUCUUGUUGUCAAAUGUAGGGGCAGAUUUUGUUCAACUUACGUAUGUAGGUAGUCUCUUAACUUUAAAAAGUUGGAAUUUUUGUGUAAGACAAACAGGAUUUGGCUAGGGAUUUCUGUGCUCUUUGUUAGGGCUUCGUCCUGCAAACAUAUCCUUUUAUGUAUUUAUACCUGCUCCUGUAUUUUUCACUCCAUGCAUCUGAUGAAGUGGGUUCUAGCCCACGAAAGCUUAGGCCCAAAUAAAUUUGUUAGUCUCUAAGAUGCCACAAGGACGCCUCAUUGUUUUUACAUAUGUGAGUAGCUUUAUUCAGAUGACUAGCAUCAUGAAGCUCAAUUGGACUACCCAUCUGAGUGAAGUUACUCAAGUGCAUAAGUAUUUGCAAGAUUGCAUCCUUAAGAUGUCAGAAGACUUGUGUGUGACUCAUACAUCUAUGCAAAGACAGUACAAAUUUGAACUGAAAAGAAAAUGUACUAAAGUGACUGUUUGUGAUAGUUUAAUCGAUUAUGUAACUAUAAAUGUAUAUACAUUCUGAAACACAUUUUAUUUACAUGUACCUUGUAAUGAUUGUGUGUAGCUGCUAAAUUUUAUGUUUAAAAAAAGGAAUUAAGUAUUCAUUCUAAAAAUCUUUACAAAUAGUAGUUACUGUGCAUACUUGCAGCCAACCCAAUUUUUAGUUGCACAAGCAUAGUUCAGAAUGGUAAUCAAUUUCCUCACUUGUAUAACAUCAAAAUGAACAAAACAUAUUUUGCAAAUGUCAAGUAAAGAAAAUUCUCCUGUGCUGAGUCCUGCUGUGCCAGCUUUAGUUAAAAAUGGGAUUUAUAAUGGAAAUGCUGACACAAUCCUCUAUCUAGACUAUUACACUCAGAUUUAAUGAACACCAGUCUAUGAUCUUCAUAUUAUUAAUGUCAGUCACUUUACAUUUAAGGCAAAAAUUCUGGUUCCUUAUUUAUGCACAUAAUCCCAUUCAAGUCAAUAGAACUACCCACAUGAGCAGGGUGAGCAGGACUUGACACAAAGUACAAUGGUGGUUGUGAUGAGUCUCCUUCCACUAAAUGCACUAUAAAGCUCUUGAAUCUAGGACUCAAUCCUGCAAUGUUUACUCACCUGAAUUCAUCUUAUUUAGGCAAAUAGUCCCAUUGACUUCUCUCAGAGGAAUAGGAUUGCAGGAUCAGGCCCUUAGAUUGAUUUUCCCUCCUAAAUUUAUAUUAUAUUACAUGGGAAUGAAAGGCUCAGUCUUGUAACCCUCCCUGACAUGAGUACUUACACCAGUGAAAAUUACUGAGUCAGGUUUCCAGGGCUGGGCUCCAAAACCUCUGUAAAUGUAACUGAAAUUAUUGAUAACAAAUAAAUGCUAAAAUGAUCAGUUCCUUUAUACAUCCCUCUUCCAUUGUUUUUCACUUAGGACAAAUAAUAAGCAUUAUUGAAAUACACUUAAAAUGCGGUGAUAUGUGUUUUAUAAUUAAGGGCCUACUUAGAUUAUGAUAUUGCAGAAAUUGCAGAUUCUGCAACAUUAGGCUUAGUUCCACCUCAGUUUUGGCAGCAGGAGCCCUGGGAUAUGCACGGCUAACAGUGGGAGCCCCAGCCACUCUGGGGAUGAGAGCGGGAGCCCCUACUGUCAGUCCUGGGUGGCCGCUGUCAGCCCUGGACCCCCGCUAUCAGCUCAAAGCAGCUGUCAGCAGGAGCCCCCACCCUCAGCCCCAGGCAGCUGACAGCGGGAAACCCUGCUCUCAGCCCUGGGCAGCCGACAGUGGAAGCCCCCUGCUCUCCUAAUACAAUAUCAUGGAAAAGUAAUAAUGGACUUUAUUAGCUCAAAUAAUAAGGUCCAUUAUUACUUUUCUGCAAUUUUCCAUGGCUUGUCCGCAACUCAGCCGCAAUUUUUUGACAAUCAUCCCGCAGUUCAAGUAGGGCCUUAUUUAUAAUAUGGUACAGUUGAAGUCCCUGGGUGUUUUGUAUUACUGAAUAGUUUUAUGCAAGGAUAUCUGUAUAUAAGUGUAAUCUCACAUUCAUUCUCAGCAAAAUUCAGCUAAAUUCAUGAUAUAUUAAGCCACAACUGGAGGAAGAGGAAAUGAGCAAUUUUCCAAUUUAUGUAAUUUAAGAGAAAUAUGGGUUAGGGAGCGGGUUAAUGGCUAUUGGCUGUAUUAGAUAAAUACACAUCUAUCUACUAGACAGUGAAACACUGUUAAAGGUGGAAGAAGCCUCAAAACUUCAAUGUGUCUGUGAUUCUCUAUGGCCAUGUAGGACACAAGUGCUGGGUGUAUUUUUGUUGAAUAGGACCCUUAGAUUUAUAGAAGAUCACAAAUAUUACUAUUUUCUGUAUUGGUUUUAUAAUAAUAGGUUGUUCCAUCUUAUAUUGUUUGGCUUGAGAUUUUAACGAAUUUAACCAAAUCAUGUAUUUAAAACAUAUAGAACAAAUUCAGAAAAUAAAAGCUGUUUUAGGGUUGCUUGCUUAUCUUUUUGGGAAUGGAAUGUUUUGAAUUGUACAAUUGAAUGGAUUAUUUUAAUUGGGGAAAAAAAAAGAUUAAAGAUUUCCAGGUGCAUAAACAGACACACAUCUUCUCUGUAAGCAGGUUAGCAAAUUAUUUGUAUAUAUUGCAAAGAAAGCAAAAUAAAAUCUGUGAAAAUCUGGAAAUGCUGAAUACAUAAAGAAACCAAUUGUUAAAACGAUGUAAAUGUUAUUACAGUAUUUUAAAUGCCAGUUAACUGUGUAAUGGCAAAAGUAGCAGGGCUAUAACAUUUAAGCCAUACGUGGUCAUAUGUUUUUCAUGUUUUGUAUUUCCAGUGAGGUAAAGUUUCUCUUGGACACUGAUUGGAAGGUAUGUAGUGUAGCAACCUGCAAUGUGAGAAAAAACACAGUUAAUUACAGUCAUUUUUAGUUAACGUCAGGGAAUGUGGAUAAAAGAAGCAAUUUUGGAUUAUGUUCUUUUGAAAGAUUUGUGUUAAACAUAAGUAUCCCAGAGUGUGAUACUGAGGAGCCUACACAAUGACCGUGGCUAUCUAUGCCCUUUGUAUUUUUUUUUAUAAAACAUUUUUGCUUUACUGAAGUUGAAUUUCAGGUACGUAAACUAAGCACUCAGUUAUAUAAUUCAAAUAGGAACUCAGGAAAUUUAGAAUCGACUUCAUAUAAUGACAGAAAGGGAGAGGGAGACUAAGGGGCCCCUCCUGCAGCUAUAGGGAGCUCCUGUGCAGUUGAGCAGGUGUGGUUCUCCUGCACAAGGGAGGAAGCUGGCUGGAUGCCAAGGGUCACACGGGGAUGUACAUCUCCUGCCUGUCAUAGAGCUGAUUGUGCAGGGUCUCUGCAUCACAGCAUGUAGGAGGAGAGUGGGGAGGCUGGGCUUGAGCCGUGUCAGGGAUCUGCUGCUCUGUGGAUCCUGCCAUUCUCCACCCCAUAGGCGGGCUGUGCUAAGGGCUGCAGAAUGCACUCUGCAGCCCUGGAGUUGCUUGGAUGGGAAGAUCCCUUUCCAUUAGGCUUUGUACAUUUCAGUGCGUGUUGUGACUACUUGAGCUAGGUGCUGAUGUCUGGAUUUUAGCCCAAAUGUAUUAAGCAGCAGAGAACUGAUAUUUCCUAUUCUUAAACAUUAAA